Molecule: ribosomal RNA, 440 nt
Filed under: uncultured bacterium
Lineage: Bacteria
Description: partial 16S ribosomal RNA
Rfam family: Bacterial small subunit ribosomal RNA
Source: RNAcentral
CCUACGGGGUGCAGCAGUGGGGAAUAUUGCACAAUGGGGGACACCCUGAUGCAGCGACGCCGCGUGAAGGAAGAAGUAUUUCGGUAUGUAAACUUCUAUCAGCAGGGAAGAAACUGACGGUACCUGACUAAGCAGCCCCGGCUCACUACGUGCCAGCAGCCGCGGUAAUACGUAGGGGGCAAGCGUUAUCCGGAUUUACUGGGGGUAAAGGGAGCGUCGGCGGCGAUGCAAGUCAGCAGUGAAAGCCCGGGGCUCAACUCCGGGACUGCUUUUGAAACUGUAUGGCUAGAUUGCAGGAGAGGCAAGUGGAAUUCCUAGUGUAGCGGUGAAAUGCGUAGAGAUUAGGAGGAACACCAGUGGCGAAGGCGGCUUGCUGGACUGUAAAUGACGCUGAGGCUCGAAAGCGUGGGGAGCAAACAGGAUUAGAUACCCUUGUAGUC